Molecule: transfer RNA, 85 nt
Filed under: Calorimonas adulescens
Lineage: Bacteria; Bacillati; Bacillota; Clostridia; Thermoanaerobacterales; Thermoanaerobacteraceae
Description: Thermoanaerobacteraceae bacterium A05MB tRNA-Tyr
Rfam family: tRNA
About the family: Transfer RNA (tRNA) molecules are approximately 80 nucleotides in length.
Source: RNAcentral
GGAGGGAUACCCAAGUGGCUAAAGGGGGCAGACUGUAAAUCUGUUGGCGCGGCCUUCGAUGGUUCGAAUCCAUCUCCCUCCACCA